UAGGGAAUCUUCCGCAAUGGACGAAAGUCUGACGGAGCAACGCCGCGUGAGUGAAGAAGGCUUUCGGUUCGUAAAACUCUGUUGUUAGGGAAGAAAAAAUGUAUAGUAACUAUAUACAAAAGAGACGGUACCUAACCAGAAAGCCACGGCUAACUACGUGCCAGCAGCCGCGGUAAUACGUAGGUGGCAAGCGUUGUCCGGAAUUAUUGGGCGUAAAGCGCGCGCAGGUGGUUUAGAAAGUCUGAUGUGAAAGCCCACGGCUCAACCGUGGAGGGUCAUUGGAAACUAAUAAACUGGAGUGCAGGAGAGAAAAGUGGAAUUCCUAGUGUAGCGGUGAAAUGCGUAGAGAUUAGGAGGAACACCGGUGGCGAAAGCGGCUUUUUGGCCUGCAACUGACACUGAGGCGCGAAAGCGUGGGGAGCAAACAGG
Molecule: ribosomal RNA, 429 nt
Filed under: Verrucomicrobiota bacterium
Lineage: Bacteria; Pseudomonadati; Verrucomicrobiota
Description: Verrucomicrobia bacterium partial 16S ribosomal RNA
Rfam family: Bacterial small subunit ribosomal RNA
Source: RNAcentral